This 73-nucleotide transfer RNA is filed under the name Sarcophilus harrisii (Tasmanian devil). It matches the Rfam family "tRNA". From Rfam's summary of the family: Transfer RNA (tRNA) molecules are approximately 80 nucleotides in length. Their secondary structure includes four short double-helical elements and three loops (D, anti-codon, and T loops). Lineage: Eukaryota; Metazoa; Chordata; Mammalia; Dasyuromorphia; Dasyuridae. The record is from Rfam by way of RNAcentral.
GGCAAAAUGGCAUAGUGGAAAAAGCACUAGCUUUUGGAAUCAGAAAAUCUAGGUUCAAAUCUCAGCUCUGCCA